GGUUAAGCGACUAAGCGUACACGGUGGAUGCCCUGGCAGUCAGAGGCGAUGAAGGACGUGCUAAUCUGCGAUAAGCGUCGGUGAGGUGAUAUGAACCGUUAUAACCGGCGAUUUCCGAAUGGGGAAACCCAGUGUGUUUCGACACACUAUCAUUAACUGAAUCCAUAGGUUAAUGAGGCGAACCGGGGGAACUGAAACAUCUAAGUACCCCGAGGAAAAGAAAUCAACCGAGAUUCCCCCAGUAGCGGCGAGCGAACGGGGAGGAGCCCAGAGCCUGAAUCAGUGUGUGUGUUAGUGGAAGCGUCUGGAAAGGCGUGCGAUACAGGGUGACAGCCCCGUACACAAAAAUGCACAUAUUGUGAGCUCGAUGAGUAGGGCGGGACACGUGGUAUCCUGUCUGAAUAUGGGGGGACCAUCCUCCAAGGCUAAAUACUCCUGACUGACCGAUAGUGAACCAGUACCGUGAGGGAAAGGCGAAAAGAACCCCGGCGAGGGGAGUGAAAAAGAACCUGAAACCGUGUACGUACAAGCAGUGGGAGCCUCUUAAUGGGGUGACUGCGUACCUUUUGUAUAAUGGGUCAGCGACUUAUAUUCUGUAGCAAGGUUAACCGAAUAGGGGAGCCGAAGGGAAACCGAGUCUUAACUGGGCGUUAAGUUGCAGGGUAUAGACCCGAAACCCGGUGAUCUAGCCAUGGGCAGGUUGAAGGUUGGGUAACACUAACUGGAGGACCGAACCGACUAAUGUUGAAAAAUUAGCGGAUGACUUGUGGCUGGGGGUGAAAGGCCAAUCAAACCGGGAGAUAGCUGGUUCUCCCCGAAAGCUAUUUAGGUAGCGCCUCGUGAAUUCAUCUCCGGGGGUAGAGCACUGUUUCGGCAAGGGGGUCAUCCCGACUUACCAACCCGAUGCAAACUGCGAAUACCGGAGAAUGUUAUCACGGGAGACACACGGCGGGUGCUAACGUCCGUCGUGAAGAGGGAAACAACCCAGACCGCCAGCUAAGGUCCCAAAGUCAUGGUUAAGUGGGAAACGAUGUGGGAAGGCCCAGACAGCCAGGAUGUUGGCUUAGAAGCAGCCAUCAUUUAAAGAAAGCGUAAUAGCUCACUGGUCGAGUCGGCCUGCGCGGAAGAUGUAACGGGGCUAAACCAUGCACCGAAGCUGCGGCAGCGACACUAUGUGUUGUUGGGUAGGGGAGCGUUCUGUAAGCCUGUGAAGGUGGCCUGUGAGGGUUGCUGGAGGUAUCAGAAGUGCGAAUGCUGACAUAAGUAACGAUAAAGCGGGUGAAAAGCCCGCUCGCCGGAAGACCAAGGGUUCCUGUCCAACGUUAAUCGGGGCAGGGUGAGUCGACCCCUAAGGCGAGGCCGAAAGGCGUAGUCGAUGGGAAACAGGUUAAUAUUCCUGUACUUGGUGUUACUGCGAAGGGGGGACGGAGAAGGCUAUGUUGGCCGGGCGACGGUUGUCCCGGUUUAAGCGUGUAGGCUGGUUUUCCAGGCAAAUCCGGAAAACCAAGGCUGAGGCGUGAUGACGAGGCACUACGGUGCUGAAGCGACAAAUGCCCUGCUUCCAGGAAAAGCCUCUAAGCAUCAGGUAACAUCAAAUCGUACCCCAAACCGACACAGGUGGUCAGGUAGAGAAUACCAAGGCGCUUGAGAGAACUCGGGUGAAGGAACUAGGCAAAAUGGUGCCGUAACUUCGGGAGAAGGCACGCUGAUAUGUAGGUGAAGCGACUUGCUCGUGGAGCUGAAAUCAGUCGAAGAUACCAGCUGGCUGCAACUGUUUAUUAAAAACACAGCACUGUGCAAACACGAAAGUGGACGUAUACGGUGUGACGCCUGCCCGGUGCCGGAAGGUUAAUUGAUGGGGUUAGCGGUAACGCGAAGCUCUUGAUCGAAGCCCCGGUAAACGGCGGCCGUAACUAUAACGGUCCUAAGGUAGCGAAAUUCCUUGUCGGGUAAGUUCCGACCUGCACGAAUGGCGUAAUGAUGGCCAGGCUGUCUCCACCCGAGACUCAGUGAAAUUGAACUCGCUGUGAAGAUGCAGUGUACCCGCGGCAAGACGGAAAGACCCCGUGAACCUUUACUAUAGCUUGACACUGAACAUUGAGCCUUGAUGUGUAGGAUAGGUGGGAGGCUUUGAAGUGUGGACGCCAGUCUGCAUGGAGCCGACCUUGAAAUACCACCCUUUAAUGUUUGAUGUUCUAACGUUGGCCCGUAAUCCGGGUUGCGGACAGUGUCUGGUGGGUAGUUUGACUGGGGCGGUCUCCUCCUAAAGAGUAACGGAGGAGCACGAAGGUUGGCUAAUCCUGGUCGGACAUCAGGAGGUUAGUGCAAUGGCAUAAGCCAGCUUGACUGCGAGCGUGACGGCGCGAGCAGGUGCGAAAGCAGGUCAUAGUGAUCCGGUGGUUCUGAAUGGAAGGGCCAUCGCUCAACGGAUAAAAGGUACUCCGGGGAUAACAGGCUGAUACCGCCCAAGAGUUCAUAUCGACGGCGGUGUUUGGCACCUCGAUGUCGGCUCAUCACAUCCUGGGGCUGAAGUAGGUCCCAAGGGUAUGGCUGUUCGCCAUUUAAAGUGGUACGCGAGCUGGGUUUAGAACGUCGUGAGACAGUUCGGUCCCUAUCUGCCGUGGGCGCUGGAGAACUGAGGGGGGCUGCUCCUAGUACGAGAGGACCGGAGUGGACGCAUCACUGGUGUUCGGGUUGUCAUGCCAAUGGCACUGCCCGGUAGCUAAAUGCGGAAGAGAUAAGUGCUGAAAGCAUCUAAGCACGAAACUUGCCCCGAGAUGAGUUCUCCCUGACUCCUUGAGGGUCCUGAAGGAACGUUGAAGACGACGACGUUGAUAGGCCGGGUGUGUAAGCGCAGCGAUGCGUUGAGCUAACCGGUACU
This 2881-nucleotide ribosomal RNA is filed under the name Martinezella rhizogenes. RNAcentral's name for it is "Agrobacterium rhizogenes partial 23S ribosomal RNA". It matches the Rfam family "Bacterial large subunit ribosomal RNA". The record is from RNAcentral. Lineage: Bacteria; Pseudomonadati; Pseudomonadota; Alphaproteobacteria; Hyphomicrobiales; Rhizobiaceae.